GAUGAACGCUGGCGGCGUGCCUAAUACAUGCAAGUCGAGCGAACGGACGAGAAGCUUGCUUCUCUGAUGUUAGCGGCGGACGGGUGAGUAACACGUGGAUAACCUACCUAUAAGACUGGGAUAACUUCGGGAAACCGGAGCUAAUACCGGAUAAUAUUUUGAACCGCAUGGUUCAAAAGUGAAAGACGGUCUUGCUGUCACUUAUAGAUGGAUCCGCGCUGCAUUAGCUAGUUGGUAAGGUAACGGCUUACCAAGGCAACGAUGCAUAGCCGACCUGAGAGGGUGAUCGGCCACACUGGAACUGAGACACGGUCCAGACUCCUACGGGAGGCAGCAGUAGGGAAUCUUCCGCAAUGGGCGAAAGCCUGACGGAGCAACGCCGCGUGAGUGAUGAAGGUCUUCGGAUCGUAAAACUCUGUUAUUAGGGAAGAACAUAUGUGUAAGUAACUGUGCACAUCUUGACGGUACCUAAUCAGAAAGCCACGGCUAACUACGUGCCAGCAGCCGCGGUAAUACGUAGGUGGCAAGCGUUAUCCGGAAUUAUUGGGCGUAAAGCGCGCGUAGGCGGUUUUUUAAGUCUGAUGUGAAAGCCCACGGCUCAACCGUGGAGGGUCAUUGGAAACUGGAAAACUUGAGUGCAGAAGAGGAAAGUGGAAUUCCAUGUGUAGCGGUGAAAUGCGCAGAGAUAUGGAGGAACACCAGUGGCGAAGGCGACUUUCUGGUCUGUAACUGACGCUGAUGUGCGAAAGCGUGUGGAUCAAACAGGAUUAGAUACCCUGGUAGUCCACGCCGUAAACGAUGAGUGCUAAGUGUUAGGGGGUUUCCGCCCCUUAGUGCUGCAGCUAACGCAUUAAGCACUCCGCCUGGGGAGUACGACCGCAAGGUUGAAACUCAAAGGAAUUGACGGGGACCCGCACAAGCGGUGGAGCAUGUGGUUUAAUUCGAAGCAACGCGAAGAACCUUACCAAAUCUUGACAUCCUUUGACAACUCUAGAGAUAGAGCUUUCCCCUUCGGGGGACAAAGUGACAGGUGGUGCAUGGUUGUCGUCAGCUCGUGUCGUGAGAUGUUGGGUUAAGUCCCGCAACGAGCGCAACCCUUAAGCUUAGUUGCCAUCAUUAAGUUGGGCACUCUAAGUUGACUGCCGGUGACAAACCGGAGGAAGGUGGGGAUGACGUCAAAUCAUCAUGCCCCUUAUGAUUUGGGCUACACACGUGCUACAAUGGACAAUACAAAGGGCAGCGAAACCGCGAGGUCAAGCAAAUCCCAUAAAGUUGUUCUCAGUUCGGAUUGUAGUCUGCAACUCGACUACAUGAAGCUGGAAUCGCUAGUAAUCGUAGAUCAGCAUGCUACGGUGAAUACGUUCCCGGGUCU
RNAcentral lists this ribosomal RNA (1372 nucleotides) under uncultured bacterium. Its description in RNAcentral is "bacterial SSU rRNA". It matches the Rfam family "Bacterial small subunit ribosomal RNA", at positions 28 to 1381 of the family's 1533-position model. The record is from RNAcentral.